AGAGUUUGAUCCUGGCUCAGGACGAACGCUGGCGGCGCGCCUAAUACAUGCAAGUCGAGCGAGAAGGUGUAGCAAUACACUUGUAAAGCGGCGAACGGGUGAGGAAUGCAUGGGUAACCUACCCUCGAGUGGGGAAUAACUAGCCGAAAGGUUAGCUAAUACCGCAUACGUUUCCGGGACUUCGGUUCCGGAAAGAAAGCAAUACCGUGGGUAUUGCGCUCAUGGAUGGGCUCAUGUCCUAUCAGCUUGUUGGUGAGGUAACGGCUCACCAAGGCUUCGACGGGUAGCUGGUCUGAGAGGACGAUCAGCCACACUGGCACUGCGACACGGGCCAGACUCCUACGGGAGGCAGCAGUAAGGAAUAUUGCGCAAUGGACGAAAGUCUGACGCAGCGACGCCGCGUGGGGGAUGAAGGUCUUCGGAUUGUAAACCCCUUUCGGGAGGGAAGAUGGAGUGGGUAACCACUUGGACGGUACCUCCAGAAGCAGCCACGGCUAACUUCGUGCCAGCAGCCGCGGUAAUACGAAGGUGGCAAGCGUUGUUCGGAUUCACUGGGCGUACAGGGAGCGUAGGCGGUUGGGUAAGCCCUCCGUGAAAUCUCCGGGCCUAACCCGGAAAGUGCAGAGGGGACUGCUCAGCUAGAGGAUGGGAGAGGAGCGCGGAAUUCCCGGUGUAGCGGUGAAAUGCGUAGAGAUCGGGAGGAAGGCCGGUGGCGAAGGCGGCGCUCUGGAACAUUUCUGACGCUGAGGCUCGAAAGCGUGGGGAGCAAACAGGAUUAGAUACCCCGGUAGUCCAA
RNAcentral lists this ribosomal RNA (796 nucleotides) under uncultured bacterium. Its description in RNAcentral is "bacterial SSU rRNA". It matches the Rfam family "Bacterial small subunit ribosomal RNA", at positions 8 to 798 of the family's 1533-position model. The record is from RNAcentral.